CUAGCCUCAGCUCUGCCCCGUCAUCACCAGCCAUUAACCUGAAACAUUUGAAAGAAUUUUGGGCUAAGUACUAAUGUACUUAUGGGCUGCAACUUUUAAAGCAUUUCAUAAUCUGAAGAACAGUUUAUCCAAUCUUACUGACAUGACAUAGAAGGUUUUAAAGAGAAAUAACUUCUAUGCAUGUUAAAACAUUUUCAUAUAUAUAUACUUAAUUAUUUUUGCGCGCGUUUGCACACUCCAUUCUGUUACUCGCUGUGAUCCCGGACCUCUAGCCACCGACGGAUCUCUGUCUCCCGCUGACUUGAACUGAGGGCGUAACCCAGCCAAGUAUAAUAAACCUCGGAAAUUAAUCCAGACAGGCCUAUCAUUACCAUGCUCCGGAACACAUCCCGUCGAGCACCCUUAUAACGCCUCUGGUUAGUGCCCGAUGGAGAUCAACCCACCGAGUCAGCUAACAAGUGUACACAAUUCUCAAACAACGUGUUAGGUCAUAAGAGAACCUCAAUUGAUUAACUGUACGAGCCUUAAACAUGGUAGAGUGCACAAAAAUAUUUUAUUGGAUAAACAGUUUAUAUUUCACGAAUAUUUAAGCUCAAUAGCUAAAUCAUACAUUUGAAAAAUAAGCCCACCUGUCUAGGCAAAGCCUGUCGUUUAACCUUAUCUCUGAAUCGGAAUAGCAGUGCUAAUCCUCCUGAUGCUCAAAGCCUACAAGAAAUCUAUUCUCAAUAGGUCUCCUUGAAUUCUAAUCUUAAGUCAUGGUGAAGUGCUUAAUAUUCUAUGAUUCACUUAGCCGGGUUUUCAAAAUUUAAUGAAUAAAUAAUUGAAAACAUUUCUUUUGAGUUAAGAACACCAACAAUAUUCUUACUCAUAUUUCUUUUAAUAAUUGGAAUUAUAAUAAAACCAAUUAAAUCAUAAAUAUUCUUAUUGCAAAAUAUAAUGCAAAUCAUGUCAUGCUUAACAUAUAAUAAGUAAUUACUUAAAAUAUGCACAUAAUAAUAAUAAUAUAAUAUUAUUAUGAAAAUUAUCCUUUAAAUAAAUUAAUCAAACUAAUAAUAGUUCAAUUAAUUAAAAUAAGAAAGCCCAAUUUAAUUAAUUGAAGGCAAUUCAAAAUCCUUAAAUAAAAUAAGGCCCAACAAAUUUAUUAAUUAAUAGCCCAACUGAAACAAAAAUAAAUAAAAUCUCGGCCCAAAUACUCAUAAAAAUCGGCCCAUGACUCGAGCCCACUCUAAUUAAAAUCGGCCCACAACUCGAGCCCACUCUAAUUAAAAUCGGCCCACUACCAAGCCCAUCACUCAAACCCAACCCCAAAGCCCAACCCUCACCAAGCCCUAGCCCACACUCCCUCCCCCCAGCCGCAUAAUACACACACACAAACAACUAAUCUCACUCUUCUCUCUCGGUCACACUCACACACACAUGUAACAGCACCCUCUCCCCUCUCUCGAUCUUUUCCGGCGGCGGUAGCAACGCCGCCUCCGCCGUCCCUUGACUCCCCUCUCUCCCAUCUCUCGCCUUCUACCUUCAUCUCUCACUCCCCACCGACCUCUCUCUUUUUCUCUUCACAUCGGAAGUCCGCCGCCGCGGAGACUCGCCGGAGGAGCAGCAGCGACGAGCUGCCGCCACCAGCUCUCUUUCUCUGACAGUGGCUGAGCGACAGCAGCCAAGGCCGCCGAGCUCUAGCCUCCCUCUGAAAGCUCAACCCCGCGGUUCCACCUCCGGCGAUAGCAGCCCCAGCCACCACCGCUCCUCCCUCUCGAACUCCGAUCCUCCCUCUGGAACUCCGGCAAUAGCAGCGAGAAGCCACUACCGCCGCCGACUCCGACUCUCUCUGGAUCGACGGCCCGACAGCAGCGGGCAAAACCGCCGUGCCGCGGCCUCCCUCUGUUCUCACCAGCGUCCUCUUCCUCUUACACGGCCGGAUGACCGACAGCGAGCACGCCGCCAUCCCGGCACCGCUCAACUCAACCCAACACACACACACACGGUUAAAGCUUGAAAAUAAAAUCUUUGUCUUUCUUUUCUUUUCAAUAAAUCAUGCUUUCAUGUAUGUAUAUGUAAUAAUGAAAGUCAUACUAUUGAAAUGCUUGAAUGUGUUGCUGUGUGUAUAUCAAAUUGUAUAUAGCUUUGAACAAGCUUGCAGCUUGAAGUUCGAUUUAUGAGCAGAGGUAAAAGAAAUCAAAUGGCUACCUUGUGAGAAAUUUCAGUGAGUGUUGAUCCUGUUUGUUUGCUGGAAAAGAAGGUUCAUAGAUAUGAAUACCAUUUAAAUGAAGGCUCUUAUUCAUAGGGACGAAUGUAAAGAAACUGAUUUAAAAUCUUACUUGUGUGCUGGAUUCUGUCGAAAUGAUCUUGGUGAGCAAAUGAAAAUUUUCAGAAUGAGUGAAGUGAUAGGGAUGUCCGUGUGGUAUAGCUGAACUUCUGUGGGUGUAGCUCUGCACUUAGUUCCUUGGUAUGUAGGAGAAAUAGUGAGUGGAAGGGAAUGAGUAUUAUGGCUAAAGUUUAUUUUGGUG
This 2507-nucleotide long non-coding RNA is filed under the name Salvia miltiorrhiza (redroot sage). RNAcentral describes it as "long non-coding RNA (SMIL_LNC008386)". The record is from RNAcentral. Lineage: Eukaryota; Viridiplantae; Streptophyta; Magnoliopsida; Lamiales; Lamiaceae.